Molecule: long non-coding RNA, 958 nt
Filed under: Vigna radiata
Lineage: Eukaryota; Viridiplantae; Streptophyta; Magnoliopsida; Fabales; Fabaceae
Description: long non-coding RNA (VRAD_LNC013839)
Source: RNAcentral
AGUCUAACAAAACCAAGUUAUUGAAAAAUUCUCAAAUCUUGACACCAAGGACCAACUUUGCCAAGUCUUACCACCAAAAGUGACUUGUUUCAAAACCAACCAAAUUUAAAAAUUUCUUGCACCUGUAUUUUGCAAGUAGUCAUCAUUUGGGGAUUUAAAAACUGUAUUGCAGCCUCUAAGUCCCAAAAACUAAGACUUUUAAAAAUUAAAAAAUCUUUGCGCGAAGUACCAACUUUGGCAAGUCUUGGCAUCAAACAUGGUUUGCUUGAAAACUAACCAAGUUGAAAAACUUCUUGCACAUAUAUUUUGCAAGUAGUCGUCAUAUGGGGGUUAAAAGAGGGCAUUGCAGCCCAUAAGUCUAACAAAACCAAGUCGUUGAAAAAUUCUCAAAUCUUACACCAAGCACCAAUUUUGCCAUGUCUUACCACCAAAAAUGACUUGUUUGAAAACCAACCAAAUUUAAAAAUUUCUUGCACUUGUAUUUUUCCAGUAGUCGUCAUUUGGGGAUUUAAAGAAUGCAUUGCAGCCUCUAAGUCCCAAAAACUAAGACUUUCAAAAAUUUCAAAAUCUUGGCACCAAGAUCCAACAUUGCCAAGUCUUGCCACAAAAACGUGGCUUGCUUGAAUACUAGCGAAGUUGAAAAAUUUCUUGCACCUAUAUUUUGACACUAGUAUUCAUUUGGGGAUUUAAAAAGUGUAUUGCACACCAUAAGUCUAACAAACCAAGUUGUUAAAAAUUUCUCAAAACAUGACACCAAGCACAAACUUUGCCAAGUCUUACGACCAAAAAUGACUUGUUUGAAAACCAACCAAAUUCUGAAAUUUCUUGCACCUGUAUUUUGACACUUUUCGUCAUUUGGGGAUUUAAAGAGUGCAUUGCAGCCUCUAAGUCCCAAAAACUAAGACUUUCAAAAAUUUCAAAAUCUUGGCACCAAGAUCCAGCUUUGCCAAGUCUCGCC